GUGGGUGAAGAAGGCCUUCGGGUUGUAAAGCCCUUUUGUUGGGAAAGAAAUCCAGCUGGCUAAUACCCGGUUGGGAUGACGGUACCCAAAGAAUAAGCACCGGCUAACUUCGUGCCAGCAGCCGCGGUAAUACGAAGGGUGCAAGCGUUACUCGGAAUUACUGGGCGUAAAGCGUGCGUAGGUGGUCGUUUAAGUCCGUUGUGAAAGCCCUGGGCUCAACCUGGGAACUGCAGUGGAUACUGGGCGACUAGAGUGUGGUAGAGGGUAGCGGAAUUCCUGGUGUAGCAGUGAAAUGCGUAGAGAUCAGGAGGAACAUCCAUGGCGAAGGCAGCUACCUGGACCAACACUGACACUUAGGCACGAAAGCGUGGGGAGCAAACAGGAUUAGAUACCCUGGUAGUCCACGCCCUAAACNAUGCGAACUGGAUGUUGGGUGCAAUUUGGCACGCAGUAUCGAAGCUAACGCGUUUAAGUUCGCCGCCUGGGGGAGUACUGUCGCAGAAUUGAAACUCAAAGGAAUU
This 521-nucleotide ribosomal RNA is filed under the name uncultured bacterium DGGE band PSBAC-12. RNAcentral's name for it is "bacterial SSU rRNA". It matches the Rfam family "Bacterial small subunit ribosomal RNA", at positions 401 to 911 of the family's 1533-position model. The record is from RNAcentral.